This is a long non-coding RNA of Sinocyclocheilus grahami, 128 nucleotides long. RefSeq lists it as uncharacterized. The transcript has 3 exons. NCBI's taxonomy places the organism in Eukaryota, Metazoa, Chordata, Actinopteri, Cypriniformes, Cyprinidae. The record is from RefSeq and is a predicted model, not a curated record.
CACCUGCCUGCUGGCUUCGUUCUUACUGAUGGCCGUCACCAGCUUCCUUCCAAACGAAGACAUCAAACUCCAACGAAGAUCAGUUUCCACCAACAACACAAAUGCCUCAGCGACAGCACAGUCUCAAG